RNAcentral lists this ribosomal RNA (855 nucleotides) under Exophiala eucalypticola. RNAcentral's name for it is "partial 28S ribosomal RNA". It matches the Rfam family "Eukaryotic large subunit ribosomal RNA", at positions 68 to 943 of the family's 3401-position model. The record is from RNAcentral. Lineage: Eukaryota; Fungi; Ascomycota; Eurotiomycetes; Chaetothyriales; Herpotrichiellaceae.
ACAGGGAUUGCCUCAGUAACGGCGAGUGAAGCGGCAACAGCUCAAAUUUGAAAUCUGGCCUACGGCCCGAGUUGUAAUUUGUAGAGGAUGUUUUGGGUACCGCCGCUGUCUAAAUUUCUUGGAACAGAAUGUCAAAGAGGGUGAGAAUCCCGUCUUGGUCAGCGGUAGGACCUGUGUAAAACUCCUUCGACGAGUCGAGUUGUUUGGGAAUGCAGCUCAAAAUGGGUGGUAAAUUUCAUCUAAAGCUAAAUAUUGGCCAGAGACCGAUAGCGCACAAGUAGAGUGAUCGAAAGAUGAAAAGCACUUUGAAAAGAGAGUUAAACAGUAUGUGAAAUUGUUGAAAGGGAAGCGCUUGCAACCAGACUUGCGCGUGGCGGUUCCCCCUUCCUUCUGGUUGGGUUACUCCGUCACGUCCAGGCCAACAUCGGUUCUGGGGGCCGGUUAAAGGCUCGGGGAAUGUACCUACUCCUUCGGGUGUAGACUUAUAGCCCCGGGUGUCAUGCGGCCUCCCGGGACCGAGGAACGCGCUUCGGCUCGGAUGUUGGCGUAAUGGUUGUCAGCGACCCGUCUUGAAACACGGACCAAGGAGUCUAACAUCUAUGCGAGUGUUUGGGUGUCAAACCCGGAACGCGGAAUGAAAGUGAACGGAGGUAGGAAGCUUAGGCUGCACUAUCGACCGAUCCUGAUGUCUUCGGAUGGAUUUGAGUAAGAGCAUAGCUGUUGGGACCCGAAAGAUGGUGAACUAUGCCUGAAUAGGGUGAAGCCAGAGGAAACUCUGGUGGAGGCUCGCAGCGGUUCUGACGUGCAAAUCGAUCGUCAAAUUUGGGUAUAGGGGCGAAAGACUAAUCGAACCAU